GAGUAGAUCAUACUGGUAUAAGCAAUUCCUGACCUAACUGUAUCUGCCCCAGCAGUGCAACACUUCCAGAUGGUAACUACUGAAGUGAUGAUGAUCUGGCCAUAAAUGUAAAGGAAAACCACACUAAAUACAAAAUGGAAAGUUAAGCAGUUUGAACCACAGUGGAGGAAGACAGUUAAAAGUCUAACAAGAAAAGGAGGUUAGCUGUUAAUUUACAUCAACCAAAGGAGCCUGGACACGUCUGGGAUCUGACAUUUGGAUGGAAUAAGUAUCCAGAACUCAUGUUUUAGUUUGCAGCACGUAUGAGAAAUGCCAGCUUCUGAACAGGAUGUACUUAAAUUCAAGAGCUGCUUUGGAAACCCGUUGUCCUAGCAGUGAUGGAAUUAGGAGAAAUUCUAGGGACAGCUUCAAUGAAAAUGCUAUUUGCUUCUUAAAUGCCAAAAGAUACAAAUAGUCAUUUAGAACUAUAAGAACACAUAGAAGAACUAUAGUAACUGUGGAAAGGGGAAAAAAAAAAAAAAAAGAAAAAGGAUGAAACAGCUAUGUGUGUUGCCCUUCAGCAUCUAAUUUAUUAAUAAAACUGCUGUUAGUAUUGCUGCCAUUCUACUGAUUUAAGGGUGGGCAACCACCAUGCAGUGGUCUUACAUUUUGUUAUUCAGGUUCUGCAGACUAGUAUGUACACUGGGCAAUACUUGUGUAGCUAGUAACCUUCCUAUUAUCCUCUCUUGACCACCUAUCCACCUCAUUGUUGCUUUAAACCAUUCCCUGAGCAACAGCCUGACCACCUUUGCCUACAGUGGGUUUUCCUAGACUUCUAGCAACUCAAUUCCAUGUUGGAUCAAUGGCAGUUCUCUCUGUCACCAAUCAGGCAGAAUUGAGCUUUCAAUAUAUCAGAAGCAGCAACUUAGUUGUACUGACAGUUCAGAGAUUUUUGGAAGGAUUACCUGUAGAAGGCAUGGGCGCUCUGAAUGUAGAUGACAGAUACUUUACUUAAAAGGAUUCUCUCUCUUUUUUUUUUCUUCCCAUUUACUUUGUUGAGGAGAACAUCCCUUCAAACAUUUCAUGAUGAGAAAUAACGUGUUUAACAAUGGUAGAAAUAUGGCCAAAGCUUUCGUAUCUGCUGAGGUUUAAGGUGAUUAACAAUCAGCCUAUGCCUCUACUGAUGUUUUUUUUUUGUGUGUGUG
Molecule: long non-coding RNA, 1184 nt
Organism: Tympanuchus pallidicinctus (lesser prairie-chicken)
Lineage: Eukaryota; Metazoa; Chordata; Aves; Galliformes; Phasianidae
Exons: 3
Source: RefSeq, a predicted model, not a curated record